This 210-nucleotide non-coding RNA is filed under the name Roseibium aggregatum. Lineage: Bacteria; Pseudomonadati; Pseudomonadota; Alphaproteobacteria; Hyphomicrobiales; Stappiaceae. The record is from RNAcentral. RNAcentral also lists the same sequence under 1 other name.
AAACCUAGAUCGUGUGAUGGUUUCGCCCGAACAAGCGUAACGGCGGAUGAAAUGGGAACACGGUGAGGCGUACCCAACAGGGACCAAGACCGUGGCUGCCCCCGCAACUGUAAGCGAAGAGCAAAGCCCUUGAGCCACUGGAGCGAUCCGGGAAGGCGGGCUGCGCGGAGACUCGCGAGCCAGGAAACCUGCCAUCCAGCGGUCCCAUUG